AUGUCGUCGCCGUCGCGCCGGAGCUCCAGCCCCGAGAGCAACAUCGACGGCGGCAGCGGCAGCGGCUCCGCCGGUGACGAGCGCAAGCGCAAGAGGAUGCUGUCCAACAGGGAGUCGGCGAGGCGGUCCCGCGCUCGCAAGCAGCAGCGGAUGGAGGAGCUCAUCGCCGAGGCCAGCCGCCUCCAGGCCGAGAACAAGCGCGUGGAGGCCCAGAUCGGCGCCUACACGACCGAGCUGACCAAGGUGGACGGCGAGAACGCCGUGCUCCGCGCGCGCCACGGCGAGCUCGCCGGCCGGCUGCAGGCGCUCGGCGGCGUCCUGGAGAUCUUCCAGGUGGCCGGCGCGCCCGUGGACAUCCCGGAGAUCCCUGACCCGCUGCUCCGCCCAUGGCAGUCCCCGUUCGCGCCCCAGCUGGCCACCGCCGGCGGCAUGCCUGACGCGUUCCAGUUCUGA
This 453-nucleotide ribosomal RNA is filed under the name Triticum aestivum (bread wheat). RNAcentral describes it as "partial small subunit ribosomal RNA". The record is from RNAcentral. Lineage: Eukaryota; Viridiplantae; Streptophyta; Magnoliopsida; Poales; Poaceae.